CGAAGUUAGAGAGAGCUUGCUUUUUCUGACUUAGUGGCGAACGGGUGAGUAACGCGUGAGGAACCUGCCUCAAAGAGGGGGACAACAGUUGGAAACGACUGCUAAUACCGCAUAAGCCCACAGCUCCGCAUGGAGCAGGGGGAAAAGGAGCAAUCCGCUUUGAGAUGGCCUCGCGUCCGAUUAGCUAGUUGGUGAGGUAACGGCCCACCAAGGCGACGAUCGGUAGCCGGACUGAGAGGUUGAUCGGCCACAUUGGGACUGAGACACGGCCCAGACUCCUACGGGAGGCAGCAGUGGGGAAUAUUGCACAAUGGGGGAAACCCUGAUGCAGCGACGCCGCGUGGAGGAAGAAGGUCUUCGGAUUGUAAACUCCUGUUGUUGGGGAAGAUAAUGACGGUACCUAACAAGGAAGUGACGGCUAACUACGUGCCAGCAGCCGCGGUAAAACGUAGGUCACAAGCGUUGUCCGG
This 470-nucleotide ribosomal RNA is filed under the name uncultured bacterium. RNAcentral describes it as "bacterial SSU rRNA". It matches the Rfam family "Bacterial small subunit ribosomal RNA", at positions 63 to 548 of the family's 1533-position model. The record is from RNAcentral.